AACUCUGAGCGGUGGAUCACUCGGCUCGUAUAUCGAUCAAGAGUGCAGCCAACUGUAUUGUAACGAUUUUAAAGGUGGAGGGGAUGUUAACCUGAUGAUCAUCUAUGACAUACAUAUAUGUAUGUAUAUAUGUAUAUGUGUAU
RNAcentral lists this ribosomal RNA (143 nucleotides) under Clonorchis sinensis. Its description in RNAcentral is "5.8S ribosomal RNA". It matches the Rfam family "5.8S ribosomal RNA". Rfam says of the family: 5.8S ribosomal RNA (5.8S rRNA) is a component of the large subunit of the eukaryotic ribosome. It is transcribed by RNA polymerase I as part of the 45S precursor that also contains 18S and 28S rRNA. The record is from Rfam by way of RNAcentral. Lineage: Eukaryota; Metazoa; Platyhelminthes; Trematoda; Opisthorchiida; Opisthorchiidae.